Sinocyclocheilus anshuiensis is the source of this 345-nucleotide long non-coding RNA. RefSeq lists it as uncharacterized. Lineage: Eukaryota; Metazoa; Chordata; Actinopteri; Cypriniformes; Cyprinidae. The record is from RefSeq and is a predicted model, not a curated record. The transcript has 3 exons.
UAGAGUGCGGUCAGCUCCACAUAAAGGCCAGAUCAGUAGAGACUAUGAGAGGGAGUUCCCUUUGGUUGAGGUGGGACCCCGGCAGCUUCUGAAGCCCCCUGGACAUGCACGGACCAGUCUGGCUUCUGUCAGGAUGGACAGUGAGGAACAAGAUAUCGAUAGUGAUUCUGAGUGGCAACGAUUUAUUGAUUUAAGUUAUCAGGGCCCUGUAAACACUUCCAUUCUUCAGAGGUUAAAGACCAAGUUGCUUGUAACCAAAAAUCAGCUAUUGGUCAGGAAGGGUGAAGAGGCCUCUUCAACUCUACAGCCACUAAAGAUCCUCAGGAACAUUGUUCAGAGCUGUCA